GAUGAACGCUGGCGGCGUGCCUAAUACAUGCAAGUCGAGCGAACAGAUAAGGAGCUUGCUCCUUUGACGUUAGCGGCGGACGGGUGAGUAACACGUGGGUAACCUACCUAUAAGACUGGGAUAACUUCGGGAAACCGGAGCUAAUACCGGAUAACAUUUGGAACCGCAUGGUUCUAAAGUGAAAGAUGGUUUUGCUAUAACUUAUAGAUGGACCCGCGCCGUAUUAGCUAGUUGGUAAGGUAACGGCUUACCAAGGCGACGAUACGUAGCCGACCUGAGAGGGUGAUCGGCCACACUGGAACUGAGACACGGUCCAGACUCCUACGGGAGGCAGCAGUAGGGAAUCUUCCGCAAUGGGCGAAAGCCUGACGGAGCAACGCCGCGUGAGUGAUGAAGGGUUUCGGCUCGUAAAACUCUGUUAUUAGGGAAGAACAAACGUGUAAGUAACUGUGCACGUCUUGACGGUACCUAAUCAGAAAGCCACGGCUAACUACGUG
This 497-nucleotide ribosomal RNA is filed under the name uncultured bacterium. RNAcentral describes it as "partial 16S ribosomal RNA". It matches the Rfam family "Bacterial small subunit ribosomal RNA", at positions 28 to 507 of the family's 1533-position model. The record is from RNAcentral.